GACGAACCGUGCGAACGUUAUUCGGAAUCACUGGGCUUAAAGCGCGUGUAGGCGGGCCGGCACGUCCGUGGCUGAAAGCCCCCGGCUCAACCGGGGAAGUGGCGCGGAUACGGCCGGCCUGGAGGGGGGUAGGGGGACCUGGAACUUCCGGUGGAGCGGUGAAAUGCGUUGAGAUCGGGAGGAACACCUGUGGCGAAGGCGGCCGGCUGGGGGUACCCUGACGCUGAGGCGCGACAGCGUGGGGAGCGAACCGG
RNAcentral lists this ribosomal RNA (254 nucleotides) under uncultured bacterium. RNAcentral's name for it is "partial 16S ribosomal RNA". It matches the Rfam family "Bacterial small subunit ribosomal RNA", at positions 524 to 776 of the family's 1533-position model. The record is from RNAcentral.